This 492-nucleotide ribosomal RNA is filed under the name uncultured bacterium. RNAcentral describes it as "partial 16S ribosomal RNA". It matches the Rfam family "Bacterial small subunit ribosomal RNA", at positions 29 to 507 of the family's 1533-position model. The record is from RNAcentral.
AGUGAACGCUGGCGGUAGGCCUAAUACAUGCAAGUCGAACGGCAGCACAGUAAGAGCUUGCUCUUACGGGUGGCGAGUGGCGGACGGGUGAGGAAUACAUCGGAAUCUACUUUUUCGUGGGGGAUAACGUAGGGAAACUUACGCUAAUACCGCAUACGACCUACGGGUGAAAGCAGGGGAUCUUGGGACCUUGCGCGAUUGAAUGAGACGAUGUCGGAUUAGCUAGUUGGCGGGGUAAAGGCCCACCAAGGCGAGGAUCCGUAGCUGGUCUGAGAGGAUGAUCAGCCACACUGGAACUGAGACACGGUCCAGACUCCUACGGGAGGCAGCAGUGGGGAAUAUUGGACAAUGGGCGCAAGCCUGAUCCAGCCAUACCGCGUGGGUGAAGAAGGCCUUCGGGUUUUAAAGCCCUUUUGUUGGGAAAGAAAAGCAGCAGAUUAAUACCCCGCUGUUCUGACGGUACCCAAAGAGAAAGCACCGGCUAACUUCGUG